UGCCUAAUACAUGCAAGUCGAACGUGAAGUGUAGCAAUACAUGGAAAGUGGCGAACGGGUGAGUAACACGUAAGUAAUCUACCUUUAAGUUUGGGAUAACCUUGCCAACGCGGGGCUAAUACCGGAUGUGAUCAGUUGAGCGCAUGUUUAGCUGAUUAAAGGAGUAAUUCGCUUAAAGAUGAGCUUGCGGCCCAUUAGUUAGUUGGCGGGGUAACGGCCCACCAAGACCGCGAUGGGUAGCCGGCCUGAGAGGGUGUACGGCCACAUUGGGACUGAGAUACGGCCCAGACUCCUACGGGAGGCAGCAGUAGGGAAUUUUGCGCAAUGGACGAAAGUCUGACGCAGCAACGCCGCGUGAGGGAUGACGGCCUUCGGGUUGUAAACCUCUGUUGGAUGGGAAAAAAGGUAGCAAUAUUUGAUGGUACCAUUCGAGUAAGCACCGGCUAACUACGUGCCAGCAGCCGCGGUAAUACGUAGGGUGCAAGCGUUGUUCGGAAUCACUGGGCGUAAAGGGAGUGUAGGCGGGAUCGUAAGUUAGGAGUUUAAUCCACGGGCUCAACCUGUGGUCUGCUUUUAAUACUGCGGUUCUUGAGUAUGGGAGAGGGCGAUGGAAUUCCAGGUGUAGCGGUGGAAUGCGUAGAUAUCUGGAAGAACACCAGUAGCGAAGGCGGUCGCCUGGCCCAAUACUGACGCUGAUACUCGAAAGCUAGGGGAGCAAACAGGAUUAGAUACCCUGGUAGUCCUAGCCGUAAACGAUGAACACUAGUUGCUGGAGGAGUCAAUCUUUUCGGUGACGAAGCUAACGCAUUAAGUGUUCCGCCUGGGAAGUACGCUCGCAAGAGUGAAACUCAAAGGAAUUGACGGGGGCCCGCACAAGCGGUGGAGCAUGUGCUUUAAUUCGAUGCAACGCGAAGAACCUUACCUAGGCUUGACAUGGGGGUGAAAUUCUGUAGAAAUAUAGAACCUUCCGCAAGGAACACCCUACACAGGUGCUGCAUGGUUGUCGUCAGCUCGUGUCGUGAGAUGUUAGGUUAAGUCCUGCAACGAGCGCAACCCUCGUCCUUAGUUGCUAACAGGUUACGCUGAGAACUCUAAGGAGACUGCCUGGUUUAACCAGGAGGAAGGUGGGGAUGACGUCAAAUCCUCAUGGCCCUUACGCCUAGGGCUA
Molecule: ribosomal RNA, 1168 nt
Filed under: uncultured Chitinivibrionia bacterium
Lineage: Bacteria; Pseudomonadati; Fibrobacterota; Chitinivibrionia
Description: bacterial SSU rRNA
Rfam family: Bacterial small subunit ribosomal RNA
Source: RNAcentral